This 485-nucleotide ribosomal RNA is filed under the name Sellaphora capitata. Its description in RNAcentral is "eukaryotic LSU rRNA". It matches the Rfam family "Eukaryotic large subunit ribosomal RNA", at positions 1 to 484 of the family's 3401-position model. Lineage: Eukaryota; Bacillariophyta; Bacillariophyceae; Sellaphorales; Sellaphoraceae. The record is from RNAcentral.
UCUGAUCUCAGAUCAAGCAAGAAGACCCGCCGAAUUUAAGCAUAUAAUUAAGCGGAGGAAAAGAAACUAACCAGGAUUCCCCUAGUAAGGGCGACUGAAGCGGGAAUAGCUCACGAUGUGAAUCAGCGCUGCUUUGUGGCGCCGAAUUGUGGUCUGAAAACGUUUGCAUUACUGGCGGGGCCAAGUCCCUUGGAACAGGGCAGCCGAGAGGGUGAGACUCCCGUGUGCCCUGCCUUUGGAGCGAGCGUUUGACGAGUCGAGUUGUUUGGGAUUGCAGCUCUAAGCGGGGUGGUAAAUUCCAUCUAAAGCUAAAUAUUGGUGGGAGACCGAUAGCGUACAAGUACCGUGAGGGAAAGAUGCAAAGAACUUUGAAAAGAGAGUUAAAGAGUACCUGAAAUUGCUGAAAGGGAAGCGAAGGAAACCAGUGUUAGUUGCGUCAUAUUUCCCCAGUUGCUUGCAGCUGGGGCGCUGUGGCCAGCGUUGUC